AAGCGCCUAUGACCAGACUUGGGCCCGGUGAAUCAUCCAGCGUUCUCGCUGGUGCACUUUGCCGGGCACAGGCCAGCAUCAGUUUGGCGCGGGGGAUAAAGGCUUCGGGAAUGUGGCUCCCUCGGGAGUGUUAUAGCCCGUUGUGUAAUACCCUGCGCCGGACUGAGGUACGCGCUCCGCAAGGAUGCUGGCGUAAUGGUCAUCAGCGA
This 209-nucleotide ribosomal RNA is filed under the name Lecanicillium sp. RNAcentral describes it as "partial large subunit ribosomal RNA". The record is from RNAcentral. Lineage: Eukaryota; Fungi; Ascomycota; Sordariomycetes; Hypocreales; Cordycipitaceae.